GAUGAACGCUGGCGGCGUGCCUAAUACAUGCAAGUCGAGCGAACAGACGAGGAGCUUGCUCCUCUGACGUUAGCGGCGGACGGGUGAGUAACACGUGGAUAACCUACCUAUAAGACUGGGAUAACUUCGGGAAACCGGAGCUAAUACCGGAUAAUAUAUUGAACCGCAUGGUUCACUAGUGAAAGACGGUUUUGCUGUCACUUAUAGAUGGAUCCGCGCCGCAUUAGCUAGUUGGUAAGGUAACGGCUUACCAAGGCAACGAUGCGUAGCCGACCUGAGAGGGUGAUCGGCCACACUGGAACUGAGACACGGUCCAGACUCCUGCGGGAGGCAGCAGUAGGGAAUCUUCCGCAAUGGGCGAAAGCCUGACGGAGCAACGCCGCGUGAGUGAUGAAGGUCUUCGGAUCGUAAAGCUCUGUUAUUAGGGAAGAACAAAUGUGUAAGUAACUAUGCACGUCUUGACGGUACCUGAUCAGAAAGCCACGGCUAACUACGUG
Molecule: ribosomal RNA, 497 nt
Filed under: uncultured bacterium
Lineage: Bacteria
Description: partial 16S ribosomal RNA
Rfam family: Bacterial small subunit ribosomal RNA
Source: RNAcentral